This 253-nucleotide ribosomal RNA is filed under the name uncultured bacterium. RNAcentral describes it as "partial 16S ribosomal RNA". It matches the Rfam family "Bacterial small subunit ribosomal RNA", at positions 524 to 776 of the family's 1533-position model. The record is from RNAcentral.
UACGUAGGGGGCAAGCGUUGUCCGGAAUCAUUGGGCGUAAAGCGCGUGUAGGCGGCCCGGUAAGUCCGCUGUGAAAGUCGGGGGCUCAACCCUCGAAUGCCGGUGGAUACUGUCGGGCUAGAGUGCGGGAGAGGCGAGUGGAAUUCCUGGUGUAGCGGUGAAAUGCGCAGAUAUCGGGAGGAACACCAGAGGCGAAGGCGGCGACCUGGACAGUUACUGACACUCAACUACGAAAGCGUGGGGAGCAAACAGG